GAAAAACGUAGAGAAACUCGCCGGAAAAUCAAUACCCGGCUGCCGGAACUUUACUGGUUUAGAAUACAAAACUUUUCCGGCACCAGAAUUUGGAACAGCAAGGUCACGAGUUAACUUUAUAGUAUUAUUCCCCAAAUGGGCAUCGCCUAAAAGCUUCAAACUACUAAGAGUUAAAGUACCAGAAUCAAACUCAGUGGCAGC
RNAcentral lists this unclassified non-coding RNA (201 nucleotides) under Hevea brasiliensis (rubber tree). Lineage: Eukaryota; Viridiplantae; Streptophyta; Magnoliopsida; Malpighiales; Euphorbiaceae. The record is from RNAcentral.